AGGUAGGAGGAGGGAUGAAGAUAGAAAUAGGAAGGAUAAAGAUAGGUAGGAGGAGGGAUGAAGAUAGAAAUAGGAAGGAUAAAGAUAGGUAGGAGGAGGGAUGAAGAUAGAAAUAGGAAGGAUAAAGAUAGGUAGGAGGAGGGAUGAAGAUAGAAAUAGGAAGGAUAAAGAUAGGUAGGAGGAGGGAUGAAGAUAGAAAUAGGAAGGAUAAAGAUAGGUAGGAGGAGGGAUGAAGAUAGAAAUAGGAAGGAUAAAGAUAGGUAGGAGGAGGGAUGAAGAUAGAAAUAGGAAGGAUAAAGAUAGGUAGGAGGAGGGAUGAAGAUAGAAAUAGGAAGGAUAAAGAUAGGUAGGAGGAGGGAUGAAGAUAGAAAUAGGAAGGAUAAAGAUAGGUAGGAGGAGGGAUGAAGAUAGAAAUAGGAAGGAUAAAGAUAGGUAGGAGGAGGGAUGAAGAUAGAAAUAGGAAGGAUAAAGAUAGGUAGGAGGAGGGAUGAAGAUAGAAAUAGGAAGGAUAAAGAUAGGUAGGAGGAGGGAUGAAGAUAGAAAUAGGAAGGAUAAAGAUAGGUAGGAGGAGGGAUGAAGAUAGACACAGGGAAGAGGAGGAGAUAGAGACAGGUAGGAGGAGGGAUGAAGAUAGACACAGGGAAGAGGAGGAGAUAGAGACAGGUAGGAGGAGGGAUGAAGAUAGAGAGGAGGGGAUAGAGAUAGAGACAGGUAGGAGGAGGGAUGAAGAUAGACACAGGGAAGAGGAGGAGAUAGAGACAGGUAGGAGGAGGGAUGAAGAUAGAGAGGAGGGGAUAGAGAUAGAGACAGGUAGGAGGAGGGAUGAAGAUAGACACAGGGAAGAGGAGGAGAUAGAGACAGGUAGGAGGAGGGAUGAAGAUAGAGAGGAGGGGAUAGAGAUAGAGACAGGUAGGAGGAGGGAUGAAGAGAGGAGGAGAUAGAGACAGGUAGGAGGAGGGAUGAAGAUAGAGAGGAGGGGAUAGAGAUAGAGACAGGUAGGAGGAGGGAUGAAGAUAGAGAGGAGGGGAUAGAGAUAGAGACAGGUAGGAGGAGGGAUGAAGAUAGAGAGGAGGGGAUAGAGAUAGAGAUAGAGACAGGUAGGAGGAGGGAUGAAGAUAGACACAGGGAAGAGGAGGAGAUAGAGACAGGUAGGAGGAGGGAUGAAGAUAGACACAGGGAAGAGGAGGAGAUAGAGACAGGUAGGAGGAGGGAUGAAGAUAGACACAGGGAAGAGGAGGAGAUAGAGACAGGUAGGAGGAGGGAUGAAGAUAGAGAGGAGGGGAUAGAGAUAGAGACAGGUAGGACGAGUGAUGAAGAGAGGAGGAGACAGAGACAGGUAGGAGGAGA
Long non-coding RNA from Erpetoichthys calabaricus (reedfish), 1347 nucleotides. RefSeq lists it as uncharacterized. The record is from RefSeq and is a predicted model, not a curated record. The transcript is spliced from 5 exons. Lineage: Eukaryota; Metazoa; Chordata; Cladistia; Polypteriformes; Polypteridae.